Molecule: ribosomal RNA, 253 nt
Filed under: uncultured bacterium
Lineage: Bacteria
Description: partial 16S ribosomal RNA
Rfam family: Bacterial small subunit ribosomal RNA
Source: RNAcentral
UACGUAGGGGGCUAGCGUUGUCCGGAAUCAUUGGGCGUAAAGCGCGUGUAGGCGGCCCGGUAAGUCCGCUGUGAAAGUCCAGGGCUCAACCCUGGGAUGCCGGUGGAUACUGUCGGGCUCGAGUCCGGAAGAGGCGAGUGGAAUUCCUGGUGUAGCGGUGAAAUGCGCAGAUAUCAGGAGGAACACCAAUGGCGAAGGCGGAUCUCUGGACAGUUCCUGACGCUGAGGCACGAAGGCCAGGGGAGCAAACGGG